CUAAGGGUUAUCAGACGGAUCCGAUGAUCCUUCCGCGGUGACACUUAUCGAAGCCUUGAAAUGCGCCCUCGCAAGAGGGAGAUGCCCCGCGACUAUAAAACAAAGGGGGACUCGCAAGUCGGCCUGCGGGCCGGCGACACUUUCGAAUUGCGGGGACAUCCUUAGAGCUCUGCCUACCAACCCGCGGGGGAAACCUCGCGGGGGCCCGUGUUAACGGCACGGGGUGCGGUAAGAACGGUGUAGAGAUUGGACGAUCCGCAGCCAAGCCCCUACGUCCAGCCGGCCUGGAUACGGGGAAGGUUCACAGACUAAGUGGAAGUGGGUGCGGCCUGUUGAAACGCUUAAGAUAUUGAUUGUUUUUCAGACAAAGCUGGGGGGUGAGUCGAUGUUGAUAGAGCCCUGGCGGGCGUGAGCCUGCCCAAGGACGGAGGGCGGUUGAUUCGGGCUCCGGCCCGAUCCUCCCACCCUUUGUGUACCCACCUCUGUUGCUUUGGCGGGCCGCGGUCCUCCGCGGCCGCCCUCCGUCCGGGGGGUGGCCAGCGCCCGCCAGAGGACCAUCAAACUCCGGUCAGUGAACGUUGCCGUCUGAAAAACAAUCAAUAAACUAAAACUUUCAACAACGGAUCUCUUGGUUCUGGCAUCGAUGAAGAACGCACCGAAAUGCGAUAAGUAAUGUGAAUUGCAGAAUUCAGUGAAUCAUCGAAUCUUUGAACGCACAUUGCGCCCCUCGGUAUUCCGAGGGGCAUGCCUGUUCGAGCGUCAUUACAACCCUCAAGCUCUGCUUGGUGUUGGGCACCGCCCUUCCGCGGGCGCGCCUCAAAGACCUCGGCGGUGGCGUCUUGCCUCGAGCGUAGUAAAAACACCUCGCUUUGGAGCGCACGGCGCCGCCGCGGACUAACCUUAUGAACUUUCUCAAGGUUGACCUCGCAUCAGGUAGGGAUACUCGUUGCACUAAAGCAUAUAAAUAAUUCGGAGGCAA
Molecule: ribosomal RNA, 979 nt
Filed under: Neofusicoccum mangiferae
Lineage: Eukaryota; Fungi; Ascomycota; Dothideomycetes; Botryosphaeriales; Botryosphaeriaceae
Description: eukaryotic LSU rRNA
Rfam family: 5.8S ribosomal RNA (bases 609-762)
Source: RNAcentral